Molecule: unclassified non-coding RNA, 252 nt
Filed under: uncultured delta proteobacterium
Lineage: Bacteria; Deltaproteobacteria
Description: contains 16S-23S intergenic spacer region
Source: RNAcentral
UCCGGGUUUCGCCCGGCAGUCUCCCUAGAACAUUCAACUAAGGGUGUCCUCUGUUGUCUAGCCCGGGUAAGGUUCUUCGCGUUGCGUCGAAUUGAACCACAUGCUCCACCGCUUGUGCGGGCCCCCGUCAAUUCCUUUGAGUUUUAACCUUGCGGCCGUAGUCCCCAGGCGGGGCACUUAAUGCGUUAGCUGCGGCACCGCAGGGGUCAAUACCCGCGACACCUAGUGCCCAUCGUUUACAGCGUGGACUAC